UACAGAGGGGGCGAAGCGUUAUUCGGAAUUAUUGGGCGUAAAGGGCGCGUAGGCGGCAUGGCAAGUGGAUGGUGAAAUCCCUCGGCUUAACCGAGGAACUGCCGUCCAAACUGCUUCGCUUGAGACCGGGAGAGGUGAGUGGAAUUCCCAGUGUAGCGGUGAAAAUGCGUAGAUAUUGGGAGGAACACCAGUGGCGAAGGCGGCUCACUGGACCGGUACUGACGCUGAGGUGCGAAAGCGUGGGGAGCAAACAGG
RNAcentral lists this ribosomal RNA (255 nucleotides) under uncultured bacterium. RNAcentral describes it as "partial 16S ribosomal RNA". It matches the Rfam family "Bacterial small subunit ribosomal RNA", at positions 524 to 776 of the family's 1533-position model. The record is from RNAcentral.